Molecule: unclassified non-coding RNA, 332 nt
Filed under: soil metagenome
Description: partial contains 5.8S ribosomal RNA, internal transcribed spacer 2, and large subunit ribosomal RNA
Rfam family: 5.8S ribosomal RNA (bases 1-120)
Source: RNAcentral
GAUGAAGAACGUAGCAAAAUGCGAUAAGUAAUGUGAAUUGCAGAAUUCAGUGAAUCAUCGAAUCUUUGAACGCACAUUGCGCCCGCCAGUAUUCUGGCGGGCAUGCCUGUUCGAGCGUCAUUUCAACCCUCAAGCACAGCUUGGUGUUGGGACUCGCGUUAAUUCGCGUUCCUCAAAUUGAUUGGCGGUCACGUCGAGCUUCCAUAGCGUAGUAGUAAAACCCUCGUUACUGGUAAUCGUCGCGGCCACGCCGUUAAACCCCAACUUCUGAAUGUUGACCUCGGAUCAGGGAGGAAUACCCGCUGAACUUAAGCAUAUCAAUAAGCGGAGGA